AGAGUUUGAUCAUGGCUCAGGACGAACGCUGGCGGCGUGCCUAAUACAUGCAAGUCGAGCGGAUUUAGUUGAAAGCUUGCUUUCGAUUAAAUUAGCGGCGGACGGGUGAGUAACACGUGGGCAACCUGCCUGUAAGAUCGGGAUAACUAUCGGAAACGAUAGCUAAGACCGAAUAAUUGGUUUUCUCGCAUGAGGAGAUC
This 200-nucleotide ribosomal RNA is filed under the name uncultured bacterium. Its description in RNAcentral is "partial 16S ribosomal RNA". It matches the Rfam family "Bacterial small subunit ribosomal RNA", at positions 8 to 200 of the family's 1533-position model. The record is from RNAcentral.